RNAcentral lists this long non-coding RNA (474 nucleotides) under Hordeum vulgare. RNAcentral describes it as "long non-coding RNA (HVUL_LNC005422)". The record is from RNAcentral. Lineage: Eukaryota; Viridiplantae; Streptophyta; Magnoliopsida; Poales; Poaceae.
GUCGGCGAGCGGAACGGACGGGCCCUGCUCCGGAGGCGGCGGCGAGGAAUCGCGCAUCUCGCGGGCGUCCUCGGCCAUUGCGAGGGCUUACUUCAUCAACACCGCAUCCGAAGAAAGCCCUCCGAAUAAAAAUGCGAGCGGAAUCGGUCAACGAUAGUGGGACAGCGAAGCGGAGACUGGUUGGAGAGGGGGGGGAGAGAUCGGAGUGAACGGCGGCGCGCAAUGUGGGCGGGGAUCAGCGCAGAUCUAAUUGAGAGGCGGCCGGGGAAAUGGCUGCCGGGAGGGGGGUGGGAUGGAUCAGCGGCGAUGCGUGACGAGAUCCGGGGAGGGAGAGGGGGAGGCGGAUGGGAUGGGAUGGGAUGGAUGAACUGACGAAGAGAAGGGGAAGGGCACGGGAGAAGGAGACGCGGCCGGUUCACGGGUUGCGGCUGGCUGGAGGAGUAGCUAGCUAGCCGGCCAUCCAGCUUACUUUUC